Molecule: ribosomal RNA, 245 nt
Filed under: uncultured bacterium
Lineage: Bacteria
Description: partial 16S ribosomal RNA
Rfam family: Bacterial small subunit ribosomal RNA
Source: RNAcentral
UAGGGGGCAAGCGUUAUCCGGAUUUACUGGGUGUAAAGGGAGCGUAGACGGCAAUGCAAGUCAGAUGUGAAAGCCCGGGGCCCAACCGCGGGACUGCAUUUGAAACUGUGAUGCUGGAGUGCAGGAGAGGUAAGUGGAAUUCCUAGUGUAGCGGUGAAAUGCGUAGAUAUUAGGAGGAACACCAGUGGCGAAGGCGGCUUACUGGACUGUAACUGACGUUGAGGCUCGAAAGCGUGGGGAGCAAA